UUUCUUCUGUUUUUUUUUGUUUUUUUUUUGCUUGCUUUUAAUUAUUUAAAGCGGGUAAGAGUCCCGUAUUGAAAAAAAA
This 79-nucleotide non-coding RNA is filed under the name Ctenophora environmental sample. The record is from RNAcentral. Lineage: Eukaryota; Metazoa; Ctenophora.